Molecule: long non-coding RNA, 1621 nt
Organism: Notechis scutatus (mainland tiger snake)
Lineage: Eukaryota; Metazoa; Chordata; Lepidosauria; Squamata; Elapidae
Product: proline-rich transmembrane protein 1-like
Source: Ensembl
GCCAAAGAAGCAGGAAGGGGAGGUGUAAGGGAGAGAGAGAGAAUAGUAAGAUCCACCAGAAGAGGCAAGGAGCAGAAGGAGGAGGCCAAGAAGGGGGGAGAAAGUGCAAGAGAAGAGAGGAGGGAGAGGGAGAACAGAUUUAGCUUGCAAUACAUCAGAAACAGACAUAAAGAAGAAACUAGUACUUGGGUGGGGUGUGUGUGUGUGAAGGGAUUCCAUCCGAAGCCUGCAGAACAGCCGAAGAGCAAGCAACAUGAGCCACCCACAAUACCAAACCUUCCAGGGGGAUCAACCUGCCUCUCCAAAUCCACCCUCCUACUCAGAAAAAGAGCUCUGCAAAGACCCUGACCCUGCUGGAUCUGCACUUCCCACGGGCCAAGGGGCCGCUGUCCCUAUGCCUCCUUCCUAUGGCUUACCCAGCCCAGCCUACCAACCUCCGAUCAUUCAACCCCAGCAGACGGUCCUCCUCACCCCGAUCUACCCUUCCGUUGAACCAGAUUACCUGGCCUACUCCAUCUUCACCAUGCUCUUCUGCUGCUUGCCUUUGGGGAUCGCUGCCUUGAUUUUCUCAAUAAAGACCCGAGAUGCCAACCAUUUUGGAAACAUCAUGGCUGCGCAGCGAAAUUCCAAGUUGGCCCGCAACUUUUCCCAUGCUGCUCUUGGUUUUGGCAUCGCCGUCUUGAUCAUGAAUAUCGCCAUACUGGUGACCCUGUAUCUGUUGAACAAACCCUGAAGGCUUGUAUCUUCUCGUUCUUGAGAUACAAAACAGAAGCAAAAGGCUUGAAUUCAUCUGCAGUGGGCGAUUACAUCACAAGUUACAGCGGCUUACUCACACACCCAUGAAAAACACAAGGAUUUCCUCCCUCCUGACUGCUCUCACCAGCUAUAGAAUGAGGUUUUAAGGUUCUAGCAGCUAGAUUUGUAACAUGAUUUGUGUUAAGCUUUAGACAUAAACAUACUCCAGCUCUACAAAGCACCAAAGCAUCAUCUGGAGCAAGGGAAAAGGGGUGUUGGGUGGCAAGAAUCAAAUGGGAUACAACAACAUGCCUGCAAAUUGUCCUGUUGUCGUUAUUAAUUGUCAACCUCCUUGGAAUCCCACAAGGGGUUGAGAUCAUCUUCUUUUAACUGUUCCUCCUCCCAUCAGUCCACCAUCUUCUCAUUUCCUCUUCUAGGCUAUUCUGUACAUUUCAGACCUCGGGUGAUUUGUUUGUAGUUGUUUGAUCAUUCAGUUUUAACUUCUGGUUCAGUUCUUCCCAAAAUUCACUAGUUUUUUUUUUCUCUCCUUCAUCUAAUAUAAGUCCCUGAGAACUCCCCAAUUCUGACGCUACAGAUUGUUAAUCAAGCCCUUUCUGUCCAAUUAUAGAUCAUACCACAGCUUUCCUCUGCUCACUGGUUUUGCAACCAUCUCCUCCAGUCUGUUUUCAAAACCCAGAAAGCAUCUGAAUGCACCUUUUCAGAGUCCCGUAUGCAAGAGGAAUACAUGAUCUGACAGGGUUGAUCAUCAAGUAUGGUCCUUGGUUUUCUUGAAACAGUUUUUGCUUACCUCUUUGGAAGAAGAACAGAGGGUUCAACAUCUGAUGGCGGAAAUAAAUAUUGUAUGAUGAAAAUAAAGAAAUGGCUC